Molecule: ribosomal RNA, 1191 nt
Filed under: Staphylococcus aureus
Lineage: Bacteria; Bacillati; Bacillota; Bacilli; Caryophanales; Staphylococcaceae
Description: bacterial SSU rRNA
Rfam family: Bacterial small subunit ribosomal RNA
Source: RNAcentral
UUUAUGGAGAGUUUGAUCCUGGCUCAGGAUGAACGCUGGCGGCGUGCCUAAUACAUGCAAGUCGAGCGAACGGACGAGAAGCUUGCUUCUCUGAUGUUAGCGGCGGACGGGUGAGUAACACGUGGAUAACCUACCUAUAAGACUGGGAUAACUUCGGGAAACCGGAGCUAAUACCGGAUAAUAUUUUGAACCGCAUGGUUCAAAAGUGAAAGACGGUCUUGCUGUCACUUAUAGAUGGAUCCGCGCUGCAUUAGCUAGUUGGUAAGGUAACGGCUUACCAAGGCAACGAUGCAUAGCCGACCUGAGAGGGUGAUCGGCCACACUGGAACUGAGACACGGUCCAGACUCCUACGGGAGGCAGCAGUAGGGAAUCUUCCGCAAUGGGCGAAAGCCUGACGGAGCAACGCCGCGUGAGUGAUGAAGGUCUUCGGAUCGUAAAACUCUGUUAUUAGGGAAGAACAUAUGUGUAAGUAACUGUGCACAUCUUGACGGUACCUAAUCAGAAAGCCACGGCUAACUACGUGCCAGCAGCCGCGGUAAUACGUAGGUGGCAAGCGUUAUCCGGAAUUAUUGGGCGUAAAGCGCGCGUAGGCGGUUUUUUAAGUCUGAUGUGAAAGCCCACGGCUCAACCGUGGAGGGUCAUUGGAAACUGGAAAACUUGAGUGCAGAAGAGGAAAGUGGAAUUCCAUGUGUAGCGGUGAAAUGCGCAGAGAUAUGGAGGAACACCAGUGGCGAAGGCGACUUUCUGGUCUGUAACUGACGCUGAUGUGCGAAAGCGUGGGGAUCAAACAGGAUUAGAUACCCUGGUAGUCCACGCCGUAAACGAUGAGUGCUAAGUGUUAGGGGGUUUCCGCCCCUUAGUGCUGCAGCUAACGCAUUAAGCACUCCGCCUGGGGAGUACGACCGCAAGGUUGAAACUCAAAGGAAUUGACGGGGACCCGCACAAGCGGUGGAGCAUGUGGUUUAAUUCGAAGCAACGCGAAGAACCUUACCAAAUCUUGACAUCCUUUGACAACUCUAGAGAUAGAGCCUUCCCCUUCGGGGGACAAAGUGACAGGUGGUGCAUGGUUGUCGUCAGCUCGUGUCGUGAGAUGUUGGGUUAAGUCCCGCAACGAGCGCAACCCUUAAGCUUAGUUGCCAUCAUUAAGUUGGGCACUCUAAGUUGACUGCCGGUGACAAACCGGAGGAAGG